GAGUCACGGCUGAGUCAGCGCGUGCUCUGUUUUAUCUCGUUUUGCUCGGGGAGGAGGUGGAAGCCAUGGCGGAGACCGGAGAGGUCUGCAGCGACGCCGCACCCAAAUUUGCCGGUGUUGGAGGGGGCCGUGCUUUAAGCGAUGGGAAGACCGCCGAUGGAGAGAGCGGUUAUCCCGCAGCAGGCGCUAGCGGCGAUGUAGAGAGUCGCGACUCCAGGGAAGAGAUCGACGAUUCAUGAGCGUUGGAGGCAUGUGCGACGCCGGUGACCUGGCUCGAGGGUAGGAGGUGCUCUGAGGUCGCCCAGGUCCUCCCGGAGAGCUACGAGCCGCCCUCCGACGAGCCCUGGACCACAGGGAUCUUCUGAUGCAACGACGAACCCGAGCUGCAUGUAUUUAACCUCUACUUUUCUCUUACGUCUUUACUUUCUCUGGUCCGUCACGGUUCAAUUGCGCUAAUUCUGUUCCUCCGUUUGGCUUGUGGUGCUACACCUACAUCAUAUCAUAUCGUAUUCAUCCCCUUGCCAGAUUUGUGGCCUUGAAUGUUUAAUUGUGUGUUCUCUGAUACCAGUGUUUGCCACGGUUCCAUGAAUGGGUUAAACAGUCUUAUUGUCUUAUGUUCUUAGGAUGGAAUGGAUCAUUUACCUGAGGUCUUGAAGGAUGGUAUGAGCCCAAUGUGACCUUCAUUGAUUCCUUCUCUUGUCCUUCAUUUCACACUUUUUAGGAGAUGAUUGAAAUAUGUAAUUGUGAUAGGCUGAAAUUGUGUCCGCUACAUUUUGCUAUUAUCCUUCAUUUCACACUACCUUGUAACUUUGAUUAGUUUUUGAGCACCAAAAUUGGGGUUCUGUGGUUAAUGGAACUGGAAUUUGUUACUGUAAGUGUUAUAGUUUUGCACUUGUCACUGUUGGAUUACAACUGCUGCUUCUGUGGAUGCAUGCAAGGGACAACUAGACCGUUGGCUGAGAUAAAAGAGCGGAGUGAUUCCAGUGGUCGGAAUCAGAUACGUCAUCAUGGUCAACACGUUCAUGUGUGUUUUCUGAAUGAACAUGAUGAUUUUUUGAAUAAUCCUCUUGCACUGUAUCUUAGUUUAUAUGGAUCAAAAUAUUGUCAUAGUCAUCAAUGCAUUUGAGUUUACUACUUGCUAUGUUUAUCCAUUAUCCACAGGUGUAAGAAAAUCUUAUAGAAGAACAAUAAUCUAUAAGUUAUGAACUUUUAGAAUAGCUCAUUUAGUCUCCUGCGCACUUCAGUUACUAUAAUUGAGUCUCAUGAGUGUUUCAGUCUCCUUCAUCAGCCUUUUAGUCUUGAAAUCCCUAGUUUUGUCCUCAGGCUUCAUUAAUUCACUAAGUCUAUGGCAGUUGUCUUUUCUAUAGCUUUUUGCAUUCUUCUACUUACUCUUGGUUCGCCUUUUCUUCGCCCGCGGGUUUUAUUAAAAUUAGAUGUGAAAUUUCUGCAAUGAACACCAAGGUACAAACAUAGCUUGAAUCUUCAGCCUUUCAGUUUAGUCAUUUUUCUUCAGUCUUUCAGUAUCAAGCUUCUCAGAUUCUCAAUAUUUCCAUUCACUAAUCAUCAACUAUUCAUUCUUUCAUUAGAUAUGUUUAUCAGUUUCUACGGUCAUUGUUUCUUCUCUUCUUUCUCCAGUCUCCGCCUUAUGUUUUUUUAAUUUUCAGUCACUCUUUUGUUUGAUCCGUUUUCUUUAGUCACUCAGUGUUAAGUAUUUCAAUUUUUCAGUCACUAAAUCCCUGAAUUUUCAUUAUUUUCAGUUUCUCUAUGUAUUUACGCAGUGUACAUUUCAGUACUUAUUUUUAAUUUGCUCAUUUUCUAUAUAUUUCAAUUUUCAUUUUCUUUCACCAGUUUUCAGUCAACAUUAUCUUUUUUUUAGUCCCCGGUUUCCAGUUUAUUUAUUUCUUCAGUUCACCAUUAUUUUUCUUCAGUUAUCAUUCUGUCAAAAUCAGUUCUUAUUCUUGAUCAGUUCUCAGUCUUUAUUUUUUAUUACCAGUUUCUUACACGUUCAUUCUUCAUUUUUUCAGUAAAUAAGUUUACUAUCUUUUAGUUAAUUUAGUAUUUCAUUUUUUAGUUUCUCAGUCUACAUUUUGCUUUUUCAUUUAUUCAUCUCUGAAUUUCUCAAUUCUUCAAUUUAGUGCUUAGCCUUCAUUUUGUUGGAGGGAAAGGAUCAAAAAAGGUUGAUGUCCAAAACUGUUUGGCUUUCUUGUACUUUGUGCUCUUUGUCUUGUCUAGUAGAUUGGUAAGAUCUCCCAUCGUGUAAAUUUGAUUGCUCAACAACAUUGAAAUUUCAAAUAUUUAUGAUAUAAACAACACAUAUAAUAUGGAAACUAGGAAACUGCCGUUGAAGUCGCUUAUUCAUGAUCCAAACUGUUAUCUAGUAUGGUCCUUAACACAAAAUUGUUUGACAUUGCAUGUAUUUAUAGCUGGUACCCCGGUUAAUUGUUCGGCAAAUAGGUUUUGUAUUGAGGUUCUUCUGUAGUUCUGAUCAACCACAAUAUUUUUGUGCUUAUAAUUGAUUUGGUCUGAAUAUACUGAUAUACUGCAUUACUUCUAUUUUUGUAGUAUGGCCAUUAACUGCACUACGCAUUAGUUUGAGCCAAAUUUUACGAUGCCCUACUCAGCUGAAGUGGAUGAGGUGGUGCUGGCAAAUGGUAUUAUUUCAGGGAACCUAUAUGCACGGCUCUUUCCGUUGUUUGGACCAAUUCCUUGGUAGCCACCUUGGGCAUGUCGCUCACAUUUCCACCAGCAAUGGUUGCUAACAUGGUCGACAUUAGUUUUAUCCAGGUAGUUUUAUCCAGGUAACUAAUUCCUCGCACCUCAUAUUAGCUUAUUGCCGGUUUGGGAAAAGAUAUAGUUCAGAUCACUCUGUAUACACUAAUUCGCACUAAGUCCACAGCUUGUUUUACUUCCACUGUUCAAUGAAGCGCAUGUCUUGUUUAGAUAUCAUCUGAGUUCGUCUUCGUUGUUGUUCUCAUAGGGUUCUUUGCCAUGUUCUGAUCAUUUUCUUUAUUCUUUUAUCACAGCUCAUUUUCUCCAUCUUUUCUUCUCUUCUAUAAUCUCGGGAUAUAUGCCAUGUUCUCAUAUUGAUCUCAUUCUUCGGUCCUUAUGAGCUCAUUCACUCUUUCUUAUGAGUUUUGUACAACAAUUUUGCAUUCUCUCUCAUUUUUAGUCAAUCCAUUUCUUAUUAUAUCUUAAGUUAUUUUCUCACACUUUUAUCUUUAGCAAAUCUUAUUUUCUUCAGUCAUUCUUCAUUUCUUUUGUUUUCCAGAUCCUCCAUUGCCUAUCCCACAACAAAGAAUGUUUUACAAACGAACAUGGUAUUUGAAUUUGUACCAGUGAGAUACAACACAUGCCUUUGAAAGUCUAAUAAUAUGUUACUUAAGUAUUAGGUUAUGUUGUUAAAAGCCAAAUACUCUAUCUCAAAUCCAAGUUUAUUGAGGCCUGAUUUUGUUAUCUCUGAAUUUCUAACAUAUCAUUCUGCCGGCUUGUUGACAUUAAAUUUCGCAAUAUCGUUUAGGCACAAUGAACAUGCUGUAAAUCUUGUCACUGCGCAUGCUGACAUCCUCCAGGCCAAGUCCCCCGAGCUGUUCUGGACAGAGUGGUGCAGCUGAAGACGACAAAGAUGGGUGGUGACGGCGGACCACAUAGUGCUGCUCUGCGUCUCUUCACCGCCCUGAAGCGUUGCUCCGCCUCUCUUCACUGCCCUGGAGGUCCGUACCAGCUGUCAGACAACGCAGUCGAAGGCGCGAUCCCGUUGCAGCUGGGUCCACCCGUGACGAUCUGGGCGUUUCCUGUUCUUCUAGAUGGGGGCAGAGUAGCUGGCGUGGUUUUAUUUUGUUGUAUAGUUCUACGUGAUGUGCCAUGUGUGUGUGGAAGCUGCACAAGCUUCAUCCUUCCUCCCUCUAGGUUUACGAUUAAGAGCUCGGUUAUCGCAUCGGGCAGUAAGAUCAUGGGGAAGACAUGUGUUUUCUAAAUGUUUGUUUGUGACAUUCAGGUGGUUCCAAUUGACUCCCUAUAUCCAUGUAUGCUAGUACCUACUAGCUAUCUACCAUUAUACCUACU
This is a non-coding RNA of Lolium perenne, 4062 nucleotides long. The record is from RefSeq and is a predicted model, not a curated record. Lineage: Eukaryota; Viridiplantae; Streptophyta; Magnoliopsida; Poales; Poaceae.